Molecule: long non-coding RNA, 832 nt
Organism: Monodelphis domestica (gray short-tailed opossum)
Lineage: Eukaryota; Metazoa; Chordata; Mammalia; Didelphimorphia; Didelphidae
Source: RefSeq, a predicted model, not a curated record
CUCUCCUAACCCACACCACAAGUGUUAGUUUCUUGCCACUCUAACUACCUUUUAUAUAACUACCUAGUGUUUAUACCAGAGCUGUAAUGUGGUGUCUGGAACACUGCAGGUGACUAAUAAGUGCUUAUUGAGUCACCUAGGAGCCACAAUGGAUAGAAUUCUGUACUAGUGGGGAAUCAAAAGGAACAAGUUUUGACAGAUACUUGAGAGAGAGGGAAAAGAUAAAGAGUAACACCAAUCCCAGCCCCAGGCCAGAGCUGUUUGAAUGAUAGAGUCAGAUCUGAGUAGAGCCAAAGGGUCACCACACAGACAUCUGAAAAAUGGACGUGUCCAGACUUGGAGGCAGUCUCUGGAGCUUGAGGAGUUAGAGUUCAUGGGUUCCUCAGUCAGGACUGGAAGUAUAAUGGAGAGUGUCCUCUAUGUCCUUCACAACUCUUUCUGGGAAAGAAUAUAACCAUCUACAGCAAGAUGAGCUCAAGCCAAGAGUUGCCACAUGACAAGAACCUGGAGGGAAUUUUUGGACAGGACGGAGAAAAGGUAAACUAGAAAUGCUUCUUCUGCUGUACCUGCAAACUACAUCAUGUCUUUGUUUUAGGCAGCCACCUCCUGAGAGAUUAUCAGAGUAGUUAUGUGACUACUGCUGCCUGUUCAAAAUUUUCUGCCAAUGAAACUUGUGGGUUUUGUGUUGUGGGGUACUGGCAAAUGUUUAACAGUUGGGAGCUCAGGGAGUUGGGAAUUGCAUAUGUGACGCACUUUUAAUUUUUAUCUGUAUUAUUAACAUUUUCUUUUUUCUUUUCUUUGGUUUUGUCAAAUCAAUAAAACAGUAAAUCAA